CCUACGGGAGGCCGCAGUGAGGAAUAUUGGUCAAUGGGCGGAAGCCUGAACCAGCCAAGUAGCGUGCAGGAUGACGGCCCUACGGGUUGUAAACUGCUUUUAUACGGGACUAAAGCGCCUUAAGUGUAGGGCUUUGCAUGUACCGUAUGAAUCAGGCACGGCUAAUUCCGUGCCAGCAGCCGCGGUAAUACGGAAGGUCCGGGCGUUAUCCGGAUGUAUGGGGGUUAAAGGGAGGGUAGGCCGGAUGUCCAGCGUGCUGUGAAAUGUCCGGGCUCAACCCGGGUCUUGCAGCGCGAACUGGCGUGCUUGAGUCCGCGGAAGGCAGGCGGAAUUCGUCGUGUAGCGGUGAAAUGCUUAGAUAUGACGAAGAACCCCGAUUGCGAAGGCAGCUUGCUGCAGCGGAACUGACGCUGAUGCUCGAAAGCGCGGGUAUCGAACAGGAUUAGAUACCCUUGUAGUC
Molecule: ribosomal RNA, 460 nt
Filed under: uncultured bacterium
Lineage: Bacteria
Description: partial 16S ribosomal RNA
Rfam family: Bacterial small subunit ribosomal RNA
Source: RNAcentral